Molecule: ribosomal RNA, 810 nt
Filed under: uncultured bacterium
Lineage: Bacteria
Description: bacterial SSU rRNA
Rfam family: Bacterial small subunit ribosomal RNA
Source: RNAcentral
UGCAGUCGUGCGAGAAAGCCACCUUCGGGUGGUGAGUAGAGCGGCGCACGGGUGAGUAACGCGUGGGUAAUCUGCCUUCGGGUCUGGGAUAACUCCGGGAAACUGGUGCUAAUACCGGAUAAGACCACGAUGUCCUCGGACUUCGCGGAAAAAGAUGGCCUCUCCUUGGAAGCUAUCGCCUGUAGAUGAGCCCGCGUCUGAUUAGCUUGUUGGUGGGGUAACGGCUCACCAAGGCUCCGAUCAGUAGCUGGUCUGAGAGGAUGAUCAGCCACACUGGAACUGAGACACGGUCCAGACUCCUACGGGAGGCAGCAGUCGGGAAUUUUGGGCAAUGGGCGAAAGCCUGACCCAGCAACGCCGCGUGAGGGAUGAAGGCCUUCGGGUCGUAAACCUCUGUCAGGAGGGAAGAACGGUCGGUGUUCAAAUAGGGCAUCGAUUUGACGGUACCUCCAAAGGAAGGACCGGCUAACUCCGUGCCAGCAGCCGCGGUAAUACGGAGGGUCCAAGCGUUGUUCGGAAUCAUUGGGCGUAAAGCGGGUGUAGGUGGUUUGGAAAGUCGGAUGUGAAAUCCCAGGGCUCAACCCUGGAACUGCAUUCGAAACUUCCUCACUAGAGUCCCGGANGGGAUGGCGGANUUCCCGGUGUAGAGGUGAAAUUCGUAGAUAUCGGGAGGAACACCAGUGGCGANNNCGGCCAUCUGGACNGUGACUGACACUAANACCCGAAAGCGUGGGUAGCGAACAGGAUUAGAUACCCUGGUAGUCCACGCCGUAAACGUUGAGUGCUCGUCGUCNCGGGUAUUGACCCCUG